AUAUUUGACAAUGGGGGCAACCCUGAUCCAGCCAUGCCGCGUGUGUGAAGAAGGUCUUCGGAUUGUAAAGCACUUUACGUUGGGAGGAAGGGCUUUAGGUUAAUACCCUGAAGUUUUGACGUUACCAACAUAAUAAGCACCGGCUAACUCUUUGCCAGCAGCCGCGGUAAGACAGAGGGUGCAAGCGUUACUCGGAAUUACUGGGCGUAAAGCGCGCGUAGGUGGUUCAGUAAGAUGGGUGUGAAAGCCCCGGGCUUAACCUGGGAACUGCUUUCAUAACUGCUGAGCUAGAGUACGGUAGAGGGUAGUGGAAUUUCCUGUGUAGCGGUGAAAUGCGUAGAUAUAGGAAGGAACACCAGUGGCGAAGGCGACUACCUGGACGAAAACUGACGCUGAUGCACGAAAGCUAGGGGAGCAAACA
This 421-nucleotide ribosomal RNA is filed under the name uncultured bacterium. Its description in RNAcentral is "partial 16S ribosomal RNA". It matches the Rfam family "Bacterial small subunit ribosomal RNA", at positions 361 to 774 of the family's 1533-position model. The record is from RNAcentral.